GGAAAAGGAAAGCAAGGUUAUAAAUAAUAGGUAAAGCCUUCUUUCUUGUUUCUGCAAUUGCAUAUCGAGAAUUUGUUCUUCCUUUUUUGCCGUUUUGGGUUUCGAAGCUCUAUGUCUCAAUCCUUCCGUACCAUAAUCAGACUUACCUUCUUCUGCAACAGCUCUCAAUACCAGAUUACCAGGUAUACCUUACUCCUCCCUCUUGAGUCUUGACUCGCUCGUUUCUUUUCCACUCAGGUUGCCAUUUGAGACGCUGCAUACGCCCUGGUGUUUGAUUCUUUAUUUUUUUCUACUGCUUGCUUUUGGAUCAGGUUGCGAUCAUGGAUCUUUGGAAGGAAUUGGAGCCGUACUGAUCGAAGAUCGAUGCCUUACCCCUACGCGGGGAGAAUUUACCUUGAAAUAAUCAAUCCUCUUUGCUUAGGGUUUCAUUGCUCUCUGUUUAUUAAGUAUUUCUUUUUCAUGCGAUUUCAUAAUGUUUGUUUCUAAUUUGUGCGUUUAGAUUUUCAGGUGGAUGUUUUCAAGAUGCCUAAAUCUAGGAAUGAAGAUUGUCCCGAUAGGAGUCAUCGCUGUGACAAGGAAAGGAACAAGAUAGAUCGUGAUGGAUGCCGAUUGGAGAAGGAUAAGCGUAUUGGCUCCGUUAUCAAGCUUCAUUGGGUGAAGGAUCGAUCACAGGAGAAAGGCGAAGGAACUGAGUCCGGAUCACCAGCAAAUACAAUGGCUAUUUGCUCGACCAAAUAAAUCCAACGGAUCUCAUUUAAGUGGGUAUUUUUAUCCAAACAAACAAUUCAAGUUUAAAAAAUUUCCUUUUUUUUUACGAAAUCGACAUACAUGUUUUUCAUUGCAUCUUUAAAGUCUUACGGUUUACAUGUACGUUGGUUGCCAGAAGUUGCAACUCACAAGUGAAUUACAUCGGGAGAUGCACCUAAUCAUAUUUCGAUUAAUCUGCAUGGUAUCCUUACACUCCACCCCACCAUAACGAUCGUCCGAAGACAUUCAUAUCACCGAACUAAAUUAGACUCGAAACUUAAAAAACUACGUAAGACAUAACCAAAUUCAGAAACAGAGUUCAAGACAUAACUAACAAAAAGCAGAAACAAUUAAUCAUCUGGUGGCUUUGAUGGGAUCGGC
RNAcentral lists this long non-coding RNA (1128 nucleotides) under Linum usitatissimum (flax). Its description in RNAcentral is "long non-coding RNA (LUSI_LNC005637)". The record is from RNAcentral. Lineage: Eukaryota; Viridiplantae; Streptophyta; Magnoliopsida; Malpighiales; Linaceae.